This 235-nucleotide long non-coding RNA is filed under the name Pan troglodytes (chimpanzee). RNAcentral's name for it is "long non-coding RNA NONPTRT008592". Lineage: Eukaryota; Metazoa; Chordata; Mammalia; Primates; Hominidae. The record is from RNAcentral.
CUGGCUCAGAGGCCCAGGAAAGAGAGAGAAGACCAACCAAGGGGUGGCUGGAGUCCCAAGGCCAUGAACUUUCAGGAAAAUGUGACCCUGGCCAUGGCCUUGUUCACCAUCCUGACCUCCAUCUAUUUCUUCAACAAGGCUCAGCAGUGAGAAGACACAGGACCUCCCCGCACAAGAGCCCUGCCUCUCCCUCUACCAUCGCUCUGAGGCCAAAUAAAUGUAACUGAAUCCGCAC